Molecule: ribosomal RNA, 429 nt
Filed under: Actinomycetes bacterium
Lineage: Bacteria; Bacillati; Actinomycetota; Actinomycetes
Description: Actinobacteria bacterium partial 16S ribosomal RNA
Rfam family: Bacterial small subunit ribosomal RNA
Source: RNAcentral
UAGGGAAUCUUCCGCAAUGGGCGAAAGCCUGACGGAGCAACGCCGCGUGAGUGAUGAAGGUCUUCGGAUCGUAAAACUCUGUUAUUAGGGAAGAACAAAUGUGUAAGUAACUAUGCACGUCUUGACGGUACCUAAUCAGAAAGCCACGGCUAACUACGUGCCAGCAGCCGCGGUAAUACGUAGGUGGCAAGCGUUAUCCGGAAUUAUUGGGCGUAAAGCGCGCGUAGGCGGUUUUUUAAGUCUGAUGUGAAAGCCCACGGCUCAACCGUGGAGGGUCAUUGGAAACUGGAAAACUUGAGUGCAGAAGAGGAAAGUGGAAUUCCAUGUGUACCGGUGAAAUGCGCAGAGAUAUGGAGGAACACCAGUGGCGAAGGCGACUUUCUGGUCUGUAACUGACGCUGAUGUGCGAAAGCGUGGGGAUCAAACAGG